GAUGAAGAACGCAGUGAAAUGCGAUAAGUAAUGUGAAUUGCAGAAUUCAGUGAAUCAUCGAAUCUUUGAACGCACAUUGCGCCCGCCAGCACUCUGGCGGGCAUGCCUGUUCGAGCGUCAUUUCAACCAUCAAGCCCCCAGGGGCUUGUGCUGGGGCCCUGCGGCUGCCCGCAGGCCCUGAAAACCAGUGGCGGGCUCGCUAGUCACACCGAGCGCAGUAGCACAUCUCGCUCAGGGCGUGCGGCGGGCUCCUGCCGUGAAACCCCCCACUGUAACCCCAAAGGUUGACCUCGGAUCAGGUAGGAAUACCCGCUGAACUUAAGCAUAUCAAUAAGAGGAGGA
Molecule: unclassified non-coding RNA, 342 nt
Filed under: soil metagenome
Description: partial contains 5.8S ribosomal RNA, internal transcribed spacer 2, and large subunit ribosomal RNA
Rfam family: 5.8S ribosomal RNA (bases 1-120)
Source: RNAcentral